GACGAACGCUGGCGGCGCGCUUAACACAUGCAAGUCGAACGGAAAGGCCUGCUUUCCCUUGUGGAUUGCGGGUACUCGAGUGGCGAACGGGUGAGUAACACGUGAGUGAUCUGCCCCCAACUUGGGUAUAAGCCUGGGAAACUGGGUCUAAUUCCCGAUAGGACUGCAGGGUGGUGCCUGUGGUGGAAAACGAUUUUCUAGUGGUUGGGGAUGAGCUCGCGGCCUAUCAGCUUGUUGGUGGGGUAAUGGCCUACCAAGGCGGCGACGGGUAGCCGGCCUGAGAGGGUGGACGGGCACAUUGGGACUGAGAUACGGCCCAGACUCCUACGGGAGGCAGCAGUGGGGAAUAUUGCACAAUGGGCGGAAGCCUGAUGCAGCGACGCCGCGUGGGGGAUGACGGCCUUCGGGUGGUAAACUCCUUUCGACCGCGAGGAAGCCACCUGGUUGGAAGGGUGGUGACGGUAGUGGUAGAAGAAGCACCGGCUAACUACGUG
Molecule: ribosomal RNA, 494 nt
Filed under: uncultured bacterium
Lineage: Bacteria
Description: partial 16S ribosomal RNA
Rfam family: Bacterial small subunit ribosomal RNA
Source: RNAcentral